RNAcentral lists this ribosomal RNA (411 nucleotides) under uncultured Haloferax sp. Its description in RNAcentral is "bacterial SSU rRNA". It matches the Rfam family "Archaeal small subunit ribosomal RNA", at positions 86 to 496 of the family's 1478-position model. Lineage: Archaea; Methanobacteriati; Methanobacteriota; Halobacteria; Halobacteriales; Haloferacaceae. The record is from RNAcentral.
CAGCUCCGUAACACGUGGCCAAACUACCCUGUGGACCGGGACACCCUCGGGAAACUGAGGCUAAUCCCGGAUGGAUCGCCCGCGCUGGAAUGCCGGGCGAUCGAAACGCUCCGGCGCCACAGGAUGUGGCUGCGGCCGAUUAGGUUGACGGUGGGGUAACGGCCCACCGUGCCGAUAAUCGGUACAGGUCGUGAGAGCGAGAGCCUGGAGACGGAAUCUGAGACAAGAUUCCGGGCCCUACGGGGCGCAGCAGGCGCGAAACCUUUACACUGCGCGUCAGCGCGAUAAGGGGACUCCAAGUGCGAGGGCAUACAGUCCUCGCUUUUCUGGAUCGUAAGGAGAUCCAGGAACAAGGGCUGGGCAAGACCGGUGCCAGCCGCCGCGGUAAUACCGGCAGCCCAAGUGAUGACC